This 245-nucleotide small RNA is filed under the name Mycoplasmoides pneumoniae M129. RNAcentral describes it as "Mycoplasma pneumoniae M129 ncRNA". Lineage: Bacteria; Bacillati; Mycoplasmatota; Mycoplasmoidales; Mycoplasmoidaceae. The record is from RNAcentral.
AAAUUACUUAAUUAACUAUUACGAAAAGGUGGAUCUUUGACUAAACAACCUAACAACUACAACCAACAAAGAAAAUUUAAUGUUUGGAAAAUUUUAAAAAGAUUGGUGCUAACAAUCAUUUUAGCGAUCCGAAACUAAGUCAAUAAAAGCAAUCCUUAGUAACCACUAACGGUUUUUUGAGGUGCAUUAACCGUAAACCUGAAUUAGGUUGGGGUUAUCAAAUCGUCCCCCUAUGGACUGCUUGG